Molecule: long non-coding RNA, 2656 nt
Filed under: Coffea arabica (coffee)
Lineage: Eukaryota; Viridiplantae; Streptophyta; Magnoliopsida; Gentianales; Rubiaceae
Description: long non-coding RNA (CARA_LNC005506)
Source: RNAcentral
AGGGGGGAUAUCAAGGGCAGUAGUUGAUUAUGGGAUCUGGUCUACUAAAUGCAAAAGUCAAGAACAGCUGCUUAUGGAAGUCAAGGACAGCAGCUGAUUAUGGGAUCUGGUCUGCUAGCAAAAGUAAAAGUCAAGAACAGCUGCUUAUGGAAGUCAUGGGCAACAACUGAUUAUGGGAUCUGAUCUGCUAGCAAAAGACAAGAACAACUGCUUAUGGGAUCUAGUCUACUAAUUGCACUAAUCAAGGAGAGCUGAUUAUGGUCUACUAUAUUAGAUGUAUAUUAGCAUAUCUGUAAUUAAUACAUUAGGGAGGUAGAUAUUCUGACGGAGGAGAGAAGGUACAGAGUUUUUCUAUUUAAAUGGAAAAGAUGCACAAAAGAUGCAUUCAGUCUUUGAUCUAGAAAACUUGUCAUUGGGGUGUAUUUGAUAAAACUGAAGUCUGAAUCCAUUAAGUUAUUGAAUUGUUAAGUAUUAAAUCUAAUACAAUUAAGUGCAUAUCACAUUCAGUGAUAAGUGAAUAGCUUAUCACUUAAUUUUGAGAGCAAGUUGUCUAUAAAAUUCAAUGUCACUUAAUUAAUUCAGAUGUUCAAUUUUGGUUAUCAAACGGUCUACAUAUGUUAAAAUCUGAAUCCAUUAAGUUUAAGUACUGAAUUGGGUUAUCAAACACAGCCUUAGUGUGCAAAACGAGUCAAUAUAUCAACAAAAUCUGUCCGACACAAAUCUAAUCUUAGUUUGAACUAAUAUUCAACACAAUGAAUGAAGUCAAGGAACACUCAAAAUCCGCACUAGAAACUCAAAAUGAGAUGUUGCCUGAAAUAAGUGAGUCCAGACAAAGCUAUAACCAGUUUGGCUUUAAACCAGUGGCUGGAGAGAUUACUUUUGUUCAUAUCCUAUUUUCACCAAACUGGAAAAUUGCAUCAAAUAUAGUAAGGCAAGAAAAGAGGACCCACAAAGGAACUCCCACAGUGGUUAGCUCAACAGAACAAGAAAAUUACUAGCACACCACAAGAUACAUGUUUCUAAUCGGAUAAAUAAUGUAAACAGCAAAAGCAAUUGAACAAUGAGAAUUACUUGAAUGCUAACCAUCCUUUAUCCUGAAUGACAUUCACAAUGUGUCUUGCCAAGUCCAAUAAAUAAACAAGAAAUAAGGUGUGUGGAACAAGCAUUAAUGCACAACAAAGGUCUCAAAACAGACGAGCGUGCUAUAAGCAUCAGUAACGCUUUGGUCACCUGUUUAAGCCUUCUAAAUUCUCUUUUAGCCAUCUUUUGCCUCCAAAGACAUUGUAUAGCGAUAAUAUUAGAUUGCCGGUGACAGUAAGCAGAGCGAAUCUUACACAUCCUCCAAAAAGCCUGUGGGAUAACAAGACAACAGUUCAGAAUGUACUUGCAAUUGUAAUGCAAACUAACAAGACAACACACGCAGGAUCAGGAUACAAACACAAGGAGACCAAAGUAAAAGGGAAUUUUAGGGGUUUAGAACACGUGAAGUAUUCAUUUCUUCUCCUCCUCCUCCUCCUCCUCCUGGUACCAAAAAUUCACUAGCUGAGGUUACCCCAUCCCAAGGCCAAAGCAUGCCAUCAGCCCCACAGGGACUUAUGGUGGUUCUUCCAGAUUGCCUACAGACCAGGGUCCACUAGCAGCUGGAUUUGAACUAAAGCUUCUCUCAGCAAAGGCAUCAUGAUGUCACCAGUUGAGGCAACCCUCGUUGGUUCAGUUAAGUAUUGAUUGUGCACUAUUAUGGCACACAUCUGAUGCUUCUAUGUGUUUUCACAUUGUAAAGAAUUUAACAGGGAUUUACUCAUCCAGCAGUCAAUAAUUUGAGAGGUUACGGCAUAACUAGCGAGUUCAGCAGGAAAAAAAUCCAAGAAAGUCUUUCAUACACCAAAGGAGAAAAAUAAAGAACUUCUUCAGCAUCCAUGACUAUCUCAACAACUCUAUAAUGCAUGCUCACAGUGGGCUUAAAAGUAUCAUAAUCUCCCAUCAUCCAAGAAUAUCUUGCUUCUAUGGUUCCUCGUCUGCCCACUUUCCACCAAAAUGGGACAACAUACUCUUUCCCAGUACAUACUUUACGCACCAAAAAAUGCAACUGUCCAACACUAGGCUGCACAAAUUAUUUAAAUCUCUUCAAACUACUCAAAAUUUCAACCAUCUCACAAUACUUGUGCCCAACCAAACAUACAUGUAAUUUGUAAAAGAGAGCAUGAUUUCUUGUUCUUUAAAUAAAUCACUACUAUACACUUUCACUGAGGCGAGAAGUAGAUUGUUUUGAAUUCAGUCCACUUCCAAGAAAUGUAGCUCGUGAAUGUGUUACUAACAUCACAACAUGAACAAAACAAAGCUGCCAAGUACUUCAACUUACACAUCCAUAUUCCAAAUGUUUCGAAGAAAACUACAAAAAAGAAAUAUGGCAAGGUACAAUUCUCUACCUGAAUUAUAGAAGCAGCUCUGUGCUCCUUCCUGUACAAAAACUUUUGCCGUGCAGAGAAACCACGGAUGCUAGACUGUAUGAAUACAAUUGACAUGUAAAGCUGAACAUAGGCAUGCCUGAACAACCAUCUCCGGGCAUAUUUCUGUAUGAUAAUAGCAGCUGUUUCCUCUCUUAUUGAAGUAUACAGUUUUCGAGCAAGAUGACCUGCAAAACAUAAGCACCGUACUC